RNAcentral lists this ribosomal RNA (289 nucleotides) under uncultured bacterium. RNAcentral's name for it is "partial 16S ribosomal RNA". It matches the Rfam family "Bacterial small subunit ribosomal RNA", at positions 335 to 616 of the family's 1533-position model. The record is from RNAcentral.
ACUCCUACGGGAGGCAGCAGUGGGGAAUAUUGGACAAUGGGCGCAAGCCUGAUCCAGCCAUGCCGCGUGUGUGAAGAAGGCCCUCGGGUUGUAAAGCACUUUCAGUGAGGAAGAAAGCUUGUCGGUUAAUACCCGGCAAGGACGACAUCACUCACAGAAGAAGCACCGGCUAACUCCGUGCCAGCAGCCGCGGUAAUACGGAGGGUGCGAGCGUUAAUCGGAAUUACUGGGCGUAAAGCGCAUGCAGGUGGUUUGUUAAGUCAGAUGUGAAAGCCCGGGCUCAAGCCUC